This 376-nucleotide ribosomal RNA is filed under the name Lactococcus lactis. Its description in RNAcentral is "partial 16S ribosomal RNA". It matches the Rfam family "Bacterial small subunit ribosomal RNA", at positions 419 to 787 of the family's 1533-position model. The record is from RNAcentral. Lineage: Bacteria; Bacillati; Bacillota; Bacilli; Lactobacillales; Streptococcaceae.
CGGAUCGUAAAACUCUGUUGGUAGAGAAGAACGUUGGUGAGAGUGGAAAGCUCAUCAAGNNACGGNAACUACCCAGAAAGGGACGGCUAACUACGUGCCAGCAGCCGCGGUNAUACGUAGGUCCCGAGCGUUGUCCGGAUUUAUUGGGCGUAAAGCGAGCGCAGGUGGUUUAUNNAGUCUGGUGUAAAAGGCAGUGGCUCAACCAUUGUAUGCAUUGGAAACUGGUAGACUUGAGUGCAGGAGAGGAGAGUGGAAUUCCAUGUGUAGCGGUGAAAUGCGUAGAUAUAUGGAGGAACACCGGUGGCGAAAGCGGCUCUCUGGCCUGUAACUGNCACUNAGGCUCGAAAGCGUGGGGAGCAAACAGGAUUAGAUACCC